RNAcentral lists this long non-coding RNA (250 nucleotides) under Bos taurus (domestic cattle). RNAcentral describes it as "long non-coding RNA NONBTAT023957". The record is from RNAcentral. Lineage: Eukaryota; Metazoa; Chordata; Mammalia; Artiodactyla; Bovidae.
CAGCCACAGAAAUUUAAGGUACAAUCCAGAGAGAGCAAUGUCUAACCCAUUGUAAGACAUAAGAAUUUGUUACCCAAAAAGUAGGUAAGUUUCUUCCUCGAGGUUUUUUUUUUUUGGUUGAGGUUAUGUCUGUCGUCUUUCUAUAAUGAUCUAAAAAUGGUCCUGCCUUAGUGACUAAGAACAUCCUCUAAGACCUCACAGUAUCGCUGUGUUCAUUCACAGCUGGGUUAAAAUCUCAUCCAUCUUCUCC